RNAcentral lists this long non-coding RNA (4962 nucleotides) under Medicago truncatula (barrel medic). Its description in RNAcentral is "long non-coding RNA (MTRU_LNC003106)". Lineage: Eukaryota; Viridiplantae; Streptophyta; Magnoliopsida; Fabales; Fabaceae. The record is from RNAcentral.
UCACUUCACUAAAAAAACUCCACAUAUGCUCCUCUCUCUCUCUCUCUCUCUCUCUCAUGUUUUUUAUGUCCACCUAUCUCAUACAACGCCUAGCUACUACAAUAUUUCACACACCUCCACCAUCAUUUCCACCUACGAUCUUAAUCAUUCAAGCACAUCAUUUUCAUUUGGAGUCUACAGGUAAGAAUCGUUUUGUUAUCCGUUCAUUUAAUUCUUUCAUCUAUUAAUAAUGUAGAUUAUUUAUCUUAAAUUUUCUCUUCUUUGAAAGUGAUACUAAAAUCCCUUUCAUAUCAUACCAAUAUUGUGAAAAGUUUUAUCGUGCCUAGUUCGAAAAAUGACUAAAAACAAAAUCGACUCAUUUGAUUUUUCUCAAGAACCAAAACUAGAGGUAUUAAAUUUAAAUGAUACUUACAUGAUUUCUUUUAACUUGUGCAGUGAGGUGUUCUUUGCUAUGCAUAUACCCUUGGAUAUACAAGAUAGAAACUGUGAUGAGUAGGUGAAAAGAGAGAGUUAUCCAGAGGAGCGUGCGAAGAGAUACUUUGACGUGGUGGUGUUAGAUGAGUUUUUUUUUUUUUUUUUAUGAUCUCAAAACAUGUAAACACAAAUUAUUUUUACAAAUAUGUUUUAGGUGUACUGGUUGUUAGAGAAACAUGGACUAAGAUCUUCAUUGUUAGAUCCUAGCCUGUUGUGAUUUAAAUAGACAAACAAUUAUAGGAGUGAACUAGAAAAGUGGAGUAAACUAGUGAACAUGUCUUUGAGAUUAGUGUUCACUUUUCACUUCACUUUCGUUCACUUUAUCUUUUAGAUAUAUAUGCAUGACUACUGUUGUAAAUCUGAGAGAGAGAGAGAGAGAGAGAGAGAGAGAGAGAGAGAGAGAGAGAGAGAGAGAGAGAGAGAGAGAGAGAGAGAGAGAGAGAGAGAGAGAGUACGUACCCGUACAUAUACCUAUCUUUUUUAAUCAUCUUCUUACACCAGCGACAAGCUUGUAGGAAUCACCAAGAAACCUUGAUGCUAUCCUUCUCGUUGUAGCAUCUGAGGUGGAAAAACCCAACGAGAAUAAUUGUGUACCUUAUAGCGCCAAAAUAAUGUCUUAGAUUAGAUUUUGAACAAUUCUUUGAUAACAAACAAUAUGAUUACAAGCAUUUACACCAGCAGAAGCCCUUUAGAAAAAUUUAUGAUUGUGAUUUAUAAAAGCGGCGCCGUUUGAGAUUGGUAUCUACUUGAGUUGAAGAUUGAAGAAUCAUUCAAUACGCAACUCCAAUCGAUACCAAUUCUAAACGACUCCUCUUUUAUCCGUCAAAAUCACAGACUUUUCUAGAGGGUUUAUUUGCAGUUGCCAAUGCUUGUAAUCAUAUUGCUUAAGAUAAAAAAAAAAUCAUUCAAAAUCCAAUCUCAGCCAUUGUUAAGGCUCCACAUGGUAAGAAACUAUUCUUGUUGGAAUUGUAUGCCUCAGAUUCUGUAACCAAAACGACAUCAUCAAUUUUUCUUGGGGGAUUCCUACAAGCUUGACGGUGGUGCAAGAAGAAGAUUGAAGAAGAGAGGUAUAUGUAUGGGUAUGUAUUGUUUCUCUUAUUUCGAUAUUUCAUAGAUUUACAACGUUUAUUAUGCAUAUAUCUAAAAGGUGAAGUGAACAAUGUGAAGUGAUAAGUGAACGAUAAUAUCAAAGAUACACAUGAUAAAUAUUAGUUCACUCCACUUUUCUAGUACAUUCCACAUUAUCUUUUUGUGUAGAUGAUAUCUGGUUGGUUACAAGCAUUUUAGAGGGCUAGAAUGCAUACAAGAACAUGUCCUGCGAAUCUGCUAAAAAAUGGACUAUUUUAAGAUAAUAUUUUGUAUAGACAUAAUUCUUAUUGUUUUUUUUUUUUGGUCAGGCAAUUCUUAUUGGUUUUAUUUGGUAGUUAUUCCUCUUUUGAUAUAUAAUAUAUCCCAUACAAAUAUAUUAAAAGGAUACAUCACUUUGGGUUUGAUUUUUUCUUCCAUUUUUACCCUUCAUUUAAAAUAUUUUAUUUACUAUUAUAUUCUUUUUAUAAUAUUAUUUAAAUUAUUACGUAAUAAAAGAGGUAGAUUACAUUAAAAUAGGAACAACUCCCUACAAUAGGAAUGAUUUUGGACACUAAAAACAUGGCUUCUUUUAAUUUAUCUGUCCAAAAUAUUUAAUCAUAAAAUAUGUUAAAUUUGAUAUUUCUUCAUUUUUUUCUUCCAAGUUUACCUUCACUUAAUUUGUUUCCCAUGGCAUCAUUACUUAUCCAUUAUAUAACUUAAUUUUGAUUUUUUUUACUAAAACACUGUAAAAGAAAAACAUGUGCUUAGGUGGUGAUUAUCUAGUAUUAAACACCUUAUCCCUACCAUCCUCCACCAACUACCAACACAAUCACCAUUUCAACCCCAUCCAUCGCCACAAACCCGUCCUCAUACCUUGGACUUGCUUACAAUCACAACCAAAUCCACCCAUUCCAUCUUCAUCUACAGAGAAUCUUGCACCACAUAUCCAACAAGAAACCUUUUCUCAAGCUUUGUGAUAAUGGAUAUGAAAGAAUACUGUUUUGCACUGAUAUUGUUAGGAAGACCAUUUCUGGCCACAACCAUGUCCUUCAUAAAUGUGGAUUAAGGAGAAAUAGAGAUAUACAAAGUGGGAGAGAGUAUGCAAAUAGGUCAAGAAUGAACUAUUUAUAAUCAUUUACAAUAGAGGGCUAGCUUACCCUCGAAGUUCAGGAACUCGUUAACUAUCCGGGCUUGCUGCGGAAAAUACUCAUUAUAAUCACCACCUCUUUUCUGUAUAGCAUAAUUAGUGAGACUAUGAGCCAAAUAUUGAAUCCACUUUUCUACUAUAUUUAUUUUUAUAUUAGCAUUUCAUAUUAUUGCUAUUUUUGUUCGAAUUUGCGGUCAUUUUCUAUAGAGUAUUGGUCAUGUUAUACUAUACUAGUAAAAAAAGUUGGUAACUUGAGCCUUACAAACUAUUAUUAUUAUUAUUUGCUAACCCCUUUGAGCCUCCAUGCAAUAAUUUAUUUUGUUAUCACUAAGUGACAAAUCAUGUCAUAAGUUUUUAACCUUAAUGUCACCUAUUUGAUUUCUUUUGGAGUUGGAUAUAAUAUUUUUAAUAAAUUGGUAUGAUUUGAAAUUAAGUUUGAGUUUGCUCUUUGAAAUUAGCAAUAUUUUAAGUUUUUGGUGAGGUAUCAGUAGAACUUAUUUAUCAAAAAUGAAAAAAUGUAGAUAAAACCAUAUAAAAAUAUGGGUUUACACAAAAAAAAUAUAUAUAUAUAAUCAAGAGUCAAAAACAUCAAAAUUUUGGUCUCUUAAAAAAAAUGUAUUUAUCUUCAAAAAUGAAAGAUAAAGAGUUCUACUUAAUUAAUACCCACAUUGUUUUGGUUUAAGGAAGGAAAGUUUGAAAUGCUUCAAUAUUUAGUAGGAAUCUAUAUGUUGGAAAUCUAACUUCAAGUUGUGUUGUUAGCCUACUUUUUCAAAUAUAUCUCACCUUGUCUAAGCAAAUAUAUAACUCUAUUUAUGACAGAUUCAACUUGUGGCUUUUCAUUAUCUCUAGCAACUUGAGAAAGCAUAGUCCUUUCAAUGCUUCAACUGUCAAUGUCAAUGAGUCAAUGCUGACCUAUGAAGUACAUACGCUUCUCGGCUUAGACGUGCCCCAUGGUAAGAUAUGCGUGGUGUUCGACACCGACACAUAUUAUUACAUUGAAUUAUGUGAUUUUCUUAAAUUAUUAUUUAGGUCGGUAUGUCAGUGUCCGGUGUCCGUGUCUGUGCUUAAUAGAUGCUAACACAGAUGGUGAUAUGCAGGUUUUGGAUAGCAUGAAGGUUAAUGAUUACAUUUGGGAGUACCUUGAGUUUGGAGUGGUGAUGAAAGCAUAUAGUGUCUUUACAGAUGCAAGGUUUACUAAGAUCUCACCUGGAAAGUAAAUUAACUCAUCAUUCUUCAAGAAAUGUAGUGUUUCAAGACUAUCAAAUUUCUGAAUUGAUCUUAGUAAAUCUUGAUUGUAUUUCCAUUCUAUUUACAAACCAAUGCUUUGUUCUAUACAAGUUCAGUUCAGUAACACCGCUUGAUAUAUUCAAAGACUCAAAUGAUUGUUUACUCAUUAUGUAUUUACAUAUCUUGAAAUAUAAAUAAAUACCAAAUAAAACUAAUAAGAGUUUUGUCAUGAGGUGUCUAUACAAAGCAUUAUAGUAAAAUAGUUCAUUAAAGACAAGUUUAGAGACACAUCUUUAUCAGUGCAGGGUAGUGUGUACCUGAUAAAUGGAGUCAUCCGCCGAUUAAUGGUGCACCCUAUACGGAGGACCCUGCGAAACAUGUAUAGGCCCCAUAACAUCGACCACCACGUCCACCAUAUCCUACUUUCCUACUUUCUAUUUCAAUACGCUGAACAUGGGCUAUUUUUAACCAGUCCUCGCCUAUUUCCUUUUGGCAUCGCUUCUCUAUUUGAGGGCAGCAUUGAAUACACAAUCUUUUUAGACUGCUAAGAUAUCGGAUGCUCGCCGGAAGACAGCUCAAAUUAGGACACACAAGAAUAAUUAAUUCCUGAAGUAAGGAAAGGUUUCCCAAACAGUCAGGCAAAUAUUCUAGUUUUGGAAGUUCAGACAAUAUUAUGCAUUGCAGAGAAGUCAUAUGUUGCAAAGCCUCGUGCAAACUUUCUACUUCCGGACAACUAGCAAUCACCAAUGUCUCUAGACAAGUUAGGUAUUGAAAACCUUCUGACAGAUUAAACUUGUGGCACUUCACUAUCUCUAGCAACUUGAGAGAGGAUAGUCCUUUCAAUACUUCAUCUGUCAAUGACUCAAUAGUGACACAGUUGGUAAUAUACAGGUGUUGGAGAGAAUGAAGGUCAAUGAUUUCAUUUGGGAGUACCUCGAGUUUGGAGUGGUGAUGAAAGCCUAAUGUCCUUACAGAUGCAAGGUUUAGUAAGAUCUCAUCUGGAAAGUAAGUUAACUCAUCAUUCUUCAAAAAAUGCAGCGUUUCAA